Molecule: ribosomal RNA, 371 nt
Filed under: uncultured bacterium
Lineage: Bacteria
Description: bacterial SSU rRNA
Rfam family: Bacterial small subunit ribosomal RNA
Source: RNAcentral
ACGUAGGAGACGAGCGUUAUCCGGAGUUACUGGGCGUAAAGCGCGUGUAGGUGGUCUAUUACGUCUGCUGUGAAAGCGCACGGCUCAACCGGGUGCAUGCGGCAGAUACGGGCAGACUAGAGGGUGACAGAGGAGCGUAGAAUUCCGGGUGUAGUGGUGAAAUGCGUAGAGAUCCGGAGGAAUACCAGUGGCGCAAGCGGCGCUCUGGGUCGCGCCUGACACUGAGACGCGAAGGCAUGGGGAGCGAACGGGAUUAGAAACCCCGGUAGUCCAUGCAGUAAACGAUGCAGACUGGGUGUGGGGGACGCAAGUCUUCUGUGCCGAAGCCAACGCGCUAAGUCUGCCGCCUGGGAAGUACGGUCGCAAGACUA